Molecule: signal recognition particle RNA, 267 nt
Filed under: Eubacteriales bacterium
Lineage: Bacteria; Bacillati; Bacillota; Clostridia; Eubacteriales
Description: signal recognition particle sRNA large type
Rfam family: Bacterial large signal recognition particle RNA
About the family: The signal recognition particle (SRP) is a universally conserved ribonucleoprotein involved in the co-translational targeting of proteins to membranes.
Source: RNAcentral
CUGCGCUAGCCGGGACGGCAGCGGUGUCCUGUACCUGCAAUCCGCUAUAGCAGGGGUGAACUCCGGCCCGCGGGCGGUGCGUGUAUUGUUUGACCUGUGUCGGAAGGCGAUGAAGAUUCGGUCCUUCGCAACAGUGGACUGUGAACCAUGUCAGGCGGGGAACCGAGCAGCAUUAAGCAGAACCCAUUGUGUGCCGCAGGAAUGCCGAGUCAGAGCCGGAUGACGCAUGUACCAGGUAUGACGUUCCGUUCAAUGGUCGGUGCGCGG